This 253-nucleotide ribosomal RNA is filed under the name uncultured bacterium. Its description in RNAcentral is "partial 16S ribosomal RNA". It matches the Rfam family "Bacterial small subunit ribosomal RNA", at positions 524 to 776 of the family's 1533-position model. The record is from RNAcentral.
UACGAAGGGGGCUAGCGUUGUCCGGAUUUACUGGGUUUAAAGGGUGCGUAGGCGGCUGAAUAAGUCGUAGAUGAAAUGUCUGGGCUCAACCUAGGCGCUGUUUACGAUCCUGUUUGGCUAGAGCGAUCAUGAGGUAGCUGGAAUGAGUGGUGUAGCGGUGAAAUGCGUAGAGAUCACUCAGAACACCGAUUGCGAAGGCAGGUUACUGGAGAUUAGCUGACGCUGAGGCACGAAAGCGUGGGGAUCAAACAGG